GGCACCAUGGCUCAGCUGGCUAAAGUAUGUGCUUCCUAAAUAGGAGAUCCUGGGUUCAACUCCUGGUGGUGCCU
Transfer RNA from Pelodiscus sinensis (Chinese soft-shelled turtle), 74 nucleotides. It matches the Rfam family "tRNA". Rfam says of the family: Transfer RNA (tRNA) molecules are approximately 80 nucleotides in length. The record is from Rfam. Lineage: Eukaryota; Metazoa; Chordata; Testudines; Trionychidae.